This 608-nucleotide ribosomal RNA is filed under the name Ophiostoma ips. RNAcentral describes it as "eukaryotic LSU rRNA". The stretch from base 204 to 357 matches the Rfam family "5.8S ribosomal RNA". Lineage: Eukaryota; Fungi; Ascomycota; Sordariomycetes; Ophiostomatales; Ophiostomataceae. The record is from RNAcentral.
CCCAACCCUUGCAAACCGUACCCCGUUCCGUUCUCGUUGCUUCUGGCGGGAGGCGGGAGGGGGGACGCGUCGCUCCUUCGGGGGCGCGCGCCCCGCCUCCCCCCCCUAGGUCCCCUCGGGGCGCCCGCCAGCGGCCAGCGAGCCGCCCGAACUUAUCAAUCAACAGCAACCGUUCCGUCUGAGCAACAAACAAAAAUUAGCAAAACUUUCAACAACGGAUCUCUUGGCUCUGGCAUCGAUGAAGAACGCAGCGAAAUGCGAUACGUAAUGCGAAUUGCAGAAUUCAGCGAGUCAUCGAAUCUUUGAACGCACAUUGCGCCCGCCAGCAUUCUGGCGGGCAUGCCUGUCCGAGCGUCAUUUCCCCCCUCAGCGCGCUCUCGCGCUGGCGUUGGGGCUCCUCCGCCCUCGGGCGGCAGGGCCCUCAAAACCAGUGGCGGGCCCAGCUGGUGGCUCCGAGCGCAGUACCGAACGCUUUGUUCUCCUCUCGCUCUGCAGCUCCGGCCGGCGCUCUGCCGUCAAGCCGCGCGGGUGGCCAGCGUCUUUUCGCUGCCGCCCCGCACUUUGUACCAAGGUUGACCUCGGAUCAGGUAGGACUACCCGCUGAACUU